CCUGACGAGCACAGCGCCCCGGGACCACCCCUUCCCAUCCCGAACAGGACCGUGAAACGGGGCCGCGCCGAUGAUAGUGGGCACCCGCCCGCGAAAGUAGGUCACCGUCAGGC
This 113-nucleotide ribosomal RNA is filed under the name Azoarcus sp. Lineage: Bacteria; Pseudomonadati; Pseudomonadota; Betaproteobacteria; Rhodocyclales; Zoogloeaceae. The record is from RNAcentral.